Molecule: long non-coding RNA, 619 nt
Filed under: Olea europaea (common olive)
Lineage: Eukaryota; Viridiplantae; Streptophyta; Magnoliopsida; Lamiales; Oleaceae
Description: long non-coding RNA (OEUR_LNC014534)
Source: RNAcentral
GAAUUUCAACAUUCUUGGGAUUACUCUUCAAAAAUAUCAAAAGGCAUAUCCAGUAUAUAAUAUUCAAGCAAUAUAAAACAACAAUCCAUGAGACUUUUCUUAAAUUUUUUAAUACUAUUUAAUCUAUAGAUAUUCCAUAAUUGAAUGGGUACUAUUCAGGACCAUAUUGAACAGAAAUAAAUCAAAUAGGUCAAUUCCACCAACUCCGCCACCUAAUUGACUUAAAUCAUUAUGUUAAUAAGAUGCAAGGGCCACCACCUAAAUAGAUAUAUUUGUAAAAAUUGCUAGCUUUGACACGUGUCAAACAAAAUUUACAUAUACCAACUAGAUGAGAUAUGCAAUCCAGCUAUUUUAGCCCAUAACAAACAGCCAGAUCUGAAGCAUACAAAUACAUGGCCUGACUCUUAGGAUUGCAAAUCUCCCCGGUGGAUCGUUUAGUCUGCAACACAAUUUUUGAUACUAAAAAAUCCUCAAGAGAGGCAAUAACAGAGCAUAUUUUUGUUAUUGCUCAAAUUUUUGAUUUAACAUGGCUGUUAAAACUAAUAUUAGUACUUCGGAUUCCAAUGAGAAAUAGAGAGAAAUUAGAAACUCGUGAUCUAAAGGAACUCAAGGAUUUAUU